UACGAAGGGGGCUAGCGUUGCUCGGAAUCACUGGGCGUAAAGCGCACGUAGGCGGAUCGCUAAGUCAGGGGUGAAAUCCCGGGGCUCAACCUCGGAACUGCCUUUGAUACUGCAAAUCUCGAGUCCGGAAGAGGUGAGUGGAAUUCCUAGUGUAGAGGUGAAAUUCGUAGAUAUUAGGAAGAACACCAGUGGCGAAGGCGGCUCACUGGUCCGGUACUGACGCUGAGGUGCGAAAGCGUGGGGAGCAAACAGG
Molecule: ribosomal RNA, 253 nt
Filed under: uncultured bacterium
Lineage: Bacteria
Description: partial 16S ribosomal RNA
Rfam family: Bacterial small subunit ribosomal RNA
Source: RNAcentral